CAAACAAUCACACUGGAAGGGGAAGAUGUAACUAGGCCAAAGGUCAUGGAGUAUGACUAGGUUUCAAAUAACUUAUGUCAGGCCUAAAAACAGAUGCCUCGGCAGGAACUAUAUUAAGCAAAUUUAUGAUGUUAUUUGCAUGAAUAGCUCUUUUAAUCUUCACAAUUAUCCUAUAAAGUGAGUGCUAUUGUUAUCCUCCUUUUACUGAUGAGAAAACUAAGGCAUAGAUAAUUAAGCAGUGUUUCCAAGGCCAUGAAGCUAGUAAAUGCAGAGCUGAGGUUCAAAUCCAAGGAAUCUGACUCCAGAGCCUUUCUUGGUCACUAUUUCACAUGCUGUCUCUAAAAACUGUAACAAACACAUGCAAACACAAACAUGCACAUUCAGAUAUUCCAUAUCAGAUUGUGACUUGGUGGAGACCACCACAUCAUGAACUAGUGCCACCAGACUAACUUUUUAGAGAAAAAAACCUCAUUCAUCCAUUCAUUCAAUGAACAAAUGUUUAUUGAGUAUGUACUAUAUGUUUCCAAGACCUUCCUGUAACUAUAUGGAUAAGAAAGAUCAUAGCUCUACCUUCAUUUCUUUUUUGUUUUGUUUUGAGAUGGAGUUUCACUCUUGUUGUCCAGGCUGGAGUGCAAUGGCACAAUCUCAGCUCACUGCCAAUGGUACACAUCUCUUCUUAAACUGAUAUUCAGAAAUACUCAUUCAGUCAAUGGUACACAUCUCUUCUUAACCUGAUAUUCAGAAAUAUCGCACUAAUAACUUGAAAUUGGCCAUAGUGGAAGUAUUUACACCAUGGUAAUUGGCAAAUCCUACAAACCAGGUCGUUUGUUGCUCACUGCAACCUCCGCCUCGUGGGUUCAAGUGAUUCUCCUGCCUCAGCCUCCCAAGUAGGUGGGAUUAUAGGUGAGCACCACCAUGCCCAGCUAAUUUUGUAUUUUUAGUAGAGACAGGGUUUCACCAUGUUGGUCAGGUUGGUCUCGAACUCAUGACCUCAAGUAAUCCACUCGCCUCAGCCUCCCAAAGUGCUGGGAUUACAGACAUAAGCCACUGUGCCUGGCCUCUACCCUCAUUUCUUAAAAAUACUCAGAUCUGGUUCUUGCUUUGGCAGCAAACAUCCUAAAGUUGGAAUGAUACACAAUUAUCAUGGCUGCUGCCCAAGGAUGAUAUGAAAAUUCAUGAAAUGUUCCAUAUAAAAAAGAAACGGAAAAAAAAUUCAGGCUGUACUUACCCAUUCACUUAAAAUCAAGCCCAGCAUAAUAGUGAGCUGUGCAAUAACUGGCAAGUGAGGGUACCAGGUGGUAAACAGAACAUAUUAAUCAUUUGAAUGUUUAUUAUGAUUUGGAUGCUACUCAGUGGACUUGUAUUCGUGACAAGACAUGUUGGCAGCAGAUUCAGUUUUUAAACAAAAAUCUGCUUUUUCAAGCAUUUAGAUUAGUUUAGUUGAAGGAUAUCCUGAGAGUACCAGCAUGUUGUUAAAGGCCGUGACCAUUUGCAAUCACACAUAGGUGGGGAUCAGGAUUUUAUUGAUUCCAUGUAACAGAACCAUCAGACAGGAGGAAACACUUGAUGCUGAGGCCCAACUAAACCUAAUUUAAGUUUUUUAUUUUUAGACCAGGCUCCGUGUCUCAUGCCUGGACUCCCAGUACUUUGGGAGGUGGAGACAGGAGGAUUGCUUGAGUCCAGGAAUUUCUACAAAAAAUUUAAAAAAUUAACCAAGCAUGGCAGUGUGUGCCUGUAGUCCUAGCUACUCAGGAGGCUGAGGAGGGAGGAUUGCUUGAGCCCAGAAGGUAGAGGUUACAGUGAGCUGUGAUUGUGCCACUGCAUUCCAGCCUGGGAGACAGAGUGACACCUUGUCUCAAAAAAAAUUGUUUUUUUCAUUGAGAGAGGAUAAAAUUUUGAUUGAGGUUCAAAAUUGGUGUUCCCUAUCAUCAAAAUCUAUUGCAGACGUUCAUCUGUUAAUACUAAUGUGUAAUGAAAUUUUAUGUAUUUCAACUGUAAAAAUGUCUUUUUAGACAGGUACUACCAAAUACUGAUAGCAAUUUAUGAGCAUAUAAUUUUAGUUGAGCAUAUUUAUUGCUGGGAAGGUAUUUACAGAAUCUCCUCUGGUUGUUCUUCUGUGUCCUUGGAAUAUCCUUUAUAACAAACUGGUAAACUUAAGUGUUUCCCUGAGUUCUAUGAGCCAUUCUAAUGAAUGAUCAAACCCAAGGAGUGGCUUAUGGAAACCUCUGAUUUAUAGCCUUGGUCAGAAGCACAGGAGGCCUGUACUUGCAACUGGGACCUGAAGUAGGAGCCUGUCUUGCAGGACUGAGCCUUUAACUUAUGAGUUCUGAAGCUAACUCCAGGUAGAUGGUGUCAGAAUUGACUGAAAUUUAGGACAAGCUGGUGUCCACUGGAGAAUGGAUGUGUGGGAAGAAAAAAAAACCACACGUUUGGUAUCAGAAAUGAAGUACAAGAAUGAGUGUGAGUAUAGAAAGGAAAAGGUUUUUUUCCUAUUAUUCAGCUUGUAAGUAGUGAAGUUGGAUUGCAACACAGAAUGACUAGCCCCAAGCCUAUGCUUAUAUAUUAUUUUUUAUAUUUGUAUCAUAGUCUACGAACUGAUUUAUUUUUAUUUUUUAUUUUAUUUUACUUUAUUUUUUUGAGAUGGAGUCUCGCUUUGUCACCCAAGCUGGAGUACAGUGGUACAAUCUCGGCUCACUGCAACCUCCCCAUCCUGGGUUCAAGCAAUUCUCCUGCCUUAGCCUCCCGAGUAGCUGGGAUUACAGGUGCCCGCCCCCACACCGGCUAAUUUUCUUGUAUUUUUAUUAGAGACGGGGUUUCACCAUGUUGGCCAUACUGGUCUCAAACUCCUGACCUCAAGUGAUCUGCCCACCUCAGCCUCCCAAAGUGUUGGGAUUACAGGUGUGAGCCACCGCGCCUGGCCUGAUUUUAUUUUAUUUUAUUUAUUUAUAUUUUUUUGAGAUGGAAUCUUGCUCUGUUG
This 2977-nucleotide long non-coding RNA is filed under the name Homo sapiens (human). The record is from RNAcentral. Lineage: Eukaryota; Metazoa; Chordata; Mammalia; Primates; Hominidae.